GAAGAGUAGUGCAUGGAAGGUCGACGACAGUUGUAUCACAUGAAGGACACUGUUCCUUCCCUGCAGUUGAAGCCUAGCUUGAUGGCCUCGACAUCGUCGGUUGAUUAGCUGCUUCUUGGCAAAUCAGUUAAUGAAAAAGGAUUUCCCCGUUUUAUAUUAUGAAUAAACAACCAACUGAUACAACCAAUUCGCUGGGUUACAACACAAACAAGCCGAUACAACCAAUUCGCUGGGUUACAACACAAACAAGCCAAAAGGAAAAAAGAAAAAACAAAUGCCGACGCCGGUAGUUCAACCAAGCCAAGAUGGCUGACAACCGCCGUACCCUCCGAAGAAAUACCACCGCAUGCCUUGCACUCUGAAGCCUCGCGUACUAAGCAACACCUUCAGGAAGGAAUGCAACGCUGACGCCACUGCUGUCCGGACAAAUCCUACGGUUUCCCCCGAUACGCGGAUGACCGUGGGGAAGGGGUAUCACUGACGCCCCUGAGGAAGGUCUGACGGUGCCCACGGGCAUAGCCGCGCCGGUGGCGGACGAGCCGCUAGGGAUUUAUCCCGCCCCGAAACCACCACCGCUACCCCAGACAAUUGAAAAUGCAUUGCCUAACAUACCGCCCACCAGCCUGUGCCACCACGGUCACCACACCAACUUCACCGUCUCACUGAAGCCACCAACACAAGAUCUAGAGGGAGGACGAGGAGAUAUCAGGCUUAGGGGCAACCGCGACGCAGCCGACACGAGGGGACAACCUUCACCGCCGCGCAGAGCCGACCGGAUGUAGCGACAGGGACUUGCCAGGCCAUCACACGCGCGGCCGGACCCCAAUGAGUCCGGACAGUCUGAGCAGCCGCACUGCN
This 858-nucleotide long non-coding RNA is filed under the name Hordeum vulgare. RNAcentral describes it as "long non-coding RNA (HVUL_LNC010308)". Lineage: Eukaryota; Viridiplantae; Streptophyta; Magnoliopsida; Poales; Poaceae. The record is from RNAcentral.